This 866-nucleotide long non-coding RNA is filed under the name Anas zonorhyncha (Eastern spot-billed duck). RNAcentral describes it as "lncRNA (ENSAZOG00000018258.1)". The record is from RNAcentral. Lineage: Eukaryota; Metazoa; Chordata; Aves; Anseriformes; Anatidae.
GAAUUGUCUCUUCCCUUCUGUGGUGGGGGGGCAGGGAGGGAAGGGGGAGGAGGAGGAGGAGGAGGAAGGGGGAGGAGGAGGAGGAGGAGGAGGAGGAGGAGGGGAGGGGGCUCGUCCCGUUCUCUUGUCCUUUUCGAAAAUGUAGAGCUAAGCUCGGCGUUGCCGAGGAUGCUGCGCGCCUUGUUUAUCUGGCACCCGGGGGGAGGGAAGGGAGAGGAGAGGAGAGGAGGGAGGGAAGCGGGCAGCGCUGGCUGGAGGAGCAGCUGCAGUGCAGUGUCAGGAGAUGAGGAGAAGGGAGACAGGGGAGCGAGGGGGGCGAGAGGGAAGAGAGAGGGGGAGAGGGGAGGAGGAGGAGGGAAGAGAGUGAAAAGAGUAAGACGGGAGGAGGAGAGGACAGAGUGAGUGGGAGAGGAGAGGAGGGGAGAGAAUGGGAGAGGAGAGGAGGGGAGCGAGAACGAGUGAGACAGAGGAGGAAGGGGAGGGAGGGGGAGCGGGAGGAGGGAAGGAGGGAGGGAGCGAGCGGUGUAAAUGGUGGGCGAGGGAGCGAGGGGGAGAUGAUUCACGCCGCCUCCGAGCCCCCUCUGCUCCCUGCCUGCCCUAGCGCCGCUGCCGGGCUCUCAUGCUCCCCCUCGCUGCCGGGCUGGGGCUGGGGGACGCGGGGGUGUGAGUGUGUGUGUGUGUGUGUGUGUGUGUGUGUCUGGGGGCGUCCCUGGCUGCGCGGCGGGGCUCCGCUCCCGCCCCAGCCCCAGCCUCGCCGCCUCCUUCGAACGCCCCGGCAACCGCCUGCCUCGGCCGGCCGCGGGCACGGGCCCGCCGACCUCGGCUGCGCCGCAGAAACCCCCGAGGCAGGAGAGAGAAUAUUGUGA